This 293-nucleotide ribosomal RNA is filed under the name uncultured Desulfovibrio sp. Its description in RNAcentral is "partial 16S ribosomal RNA". It matches the Rfam family "Bacterial small subunit ribosomal RNA", at positions 505 to 797 of the family's 1533-position model. The record is from RNAcentral. Lineage: Bacteria; Pseudomonadati; Thermodesulfobacteriota; Desulfovibrionia; Desulfovibrionales; Desulfovibrionaceae.
GUGCCAGCAGCCGCGGUAAUACUGAAGGUGCAAGCGUUAAUCGGAAUCACUGGGCGUAAAGCGCUCGUAGGUGGCUUUGUAAGUCAGGUGUGAAAGCCCACGGCUCAACCGUGGAAUUGCACUUGAUACUGCAUCGCUAGAGUAUAGGAGAGGGAAGUGGAAUUUCUGGUGUAGGAGUGAAAUCCGUAGAGAUCAGAAGGAACACCCGUGGCGAAGGCGACUUCCUGGACUAUUACUGACACUGAGGAGCGAAAGCGUGGGGAGCAAACAGGAUUAGAUACCCCCGUAGUCCC